CAGCCGCCGCGGUAAUACGGAGGGUGCAAGCGUUACUCGGAAUCACUGGGCGUAAAGCGCGCGCAGGCGGCCAUUUAAGUUGGAUGUGAAAGCCUUCGGCUCAACCGUAGAACUGCAUCCAAAACUAUUUGGCUAGAGUGUGGGAGAGGAAGAUGGAAUUAGUUGUGUAGGGGUAAAAUCCGUAGAGAUAACUAGGAAUACCAAAAGCGAAGGCAAUCUUCUGGAACAUUACUGACGCUGAGGCGCGAAAGCGUGGGGAGCAAACAGGAUUAGAUACCCUGGUAGUCCACGCCCUAAACGAUGAAUGUUAGUCGUCGGGUAGCUAGUCUAUUCGGUGAUGCAGCUAACGCAUUAAACAUUCCGCCUGGGGAGUACGGUCGCAAGAUUAAAACUCAAAGGAAUAGACGGGGACCCGCACAAGUGGUGGAGCAUGUGGUUUAAUUCGAAGAUACGCGAAGAACCUUACCUAGCCUUGACAUAUUUUAGAACUCCGCAGUGAUGUAGAGGUGCCUUCGGGAGCUAAUUUACAGGUGCUGCACGGCUGUCGUCAGCUCGUGUCGUGAGAUGUUGGGUUAAGUCCCGCAACGAGCGCAACCCUCGUCACUAGUUACUAACGGUUCGGCCGAGGACUCUAGUGAGACUGCCUUCGUAAGGAGGAGGAAGGUGAGGACGACGUCAAGUCAUCAUGGCCCUUACGGCUAGGGCAACACACGUGCUACAAUGGCCAGGACAGUGAGACGCGAUACCGCGAGGUGGAGCAAAUCUAUAAACCUGGUCUCAGUUCGGAUUGUAGUCUGCAACUCGACUACAUGAAGCUGGAAUCACUAGUAAUCGUAGAUCAGCUAUGCUACGGUGAAUACGUUCCCGGGUCUUGUACUCACCGCCCGUCACACCAUGGGAGUUGAUUUCACCCGAAGCGGGGAAGCUAAACUGGCUACCCUCCACGGUGGAAUUAGCGACUGGGGUGAAGUCGUAACAAGGUAACCGUA
This 989-nucleotide ribosomal RNA is filed under the name uncultured bacterium. RNAcentral's name for it is "bacterial SSU rRNA". It matches the Rfam family "Bacterial small subunit ribosomal RNA", at positions 509 to 1504 of the family's 1533-position model. The record is from RNAcentral.